GGAACAGAGACCAAGCCUUCCCAGUGGCAGGCCACAGGGACACUCCCGGAAGUACUCCUAAGCACAGGGAAGACCAUGUGGGUGUUGGCACACAGGCCUUCAGGGAAGCUGUGUCCCCUGCUGUUUGGAGCUGCUUGGCCUCUCCCGCCUCGCCUCACUCCCUCGCUGGUCUUGUCUCCCAAAUAAGCUGCCUGGGCUCAGUCCUCUCCUCAGAUCUACUGCUGGAGGAUUCGGAACCAAGACUUUCAUCUCUCUCUGCUCCCCCUCCCCACCUGCCCACCACGAUUCCUGUGGCCACAACCCUGCCCGGCGCCCAACACACAGCGGUGGCUCCACCCAGACGUGCCAUGAGCCAGCAAGGGGGUGACCCGUGUCCCCUGGAUC
Molecule: long non-coding RNA, 384 nt
Organism: Bubalus bubalis (water buffalo)
Lineage: Eukaryota; Metazoa; Chordata; Mammalia; Artiodactyla; Bovidae
Exons: 2
Source: RefSeq, a predicted model, not a curated record